ACGUAUUCUUGAUAAUUUAAACCCCUGGUGAGAAGUGUCGUUACAUAGUUUUUCCGAAGAGCUUCAAACUCCGUUCUUCUCCCACCAUAACUCCCAUACAUAUAUCCGCUCUUGUACAUAUAUAAGUACACAUAUUUCUACUACAUAUAAAUGAUUUUCACACACUAAUAUAUAAUAUUUUCUAUUAUAUUCACAUAUAUUUAUUUAUAAAUUAUA
Molecule: long non-coding RNA, 216 nt
Organism: Cotesia glomerata
Lineage: Eukaryota; Metazoa; Arthropoda; Insecta; Hymenoptera; Braconidae
Exons: 3
Source: RefSeq, a predicted model, not a curated record